CAAAUGGACAUGCGCUACUGUGGCUGGGGUGGGAAGAGCAAGCCCCAUGUUAGCAUCUUUCACAGUCAGCUUAUUUGGAAUAAAUGGAAGAAAUCCUUUGCAAAGGUAUCUCAGUAACAAAGAAGACACAUACAUGUAAGUAAUGCAUAUUUUUUUUUGUCCCAAGUUUUCUGAAGAGUUGGAAUUCGCAUAUGUCUGGCUGCUGUGACCCUUCAAGUAUAAACUAAUGUUUCAGCUGUGAUCCAUGGUCGACAGAGGUCAUCCUUCUCUUCCUGUAGUGCUUGGAAGUGGUACAUCUCCACCUGUUUGUACUGAGUGUGUGUUAAAGAGAGUCUAGACAUAGUCUGAUGAAUUCGAGUGAUCCAAGCCAUUCAUCUUUAGAAACAGCAUAAAAUCUAGCCAGGAGGAUCAAUUAAUUACUUACGGUCACCCUUGCUCUGGAUCCUUCCUAGAAGAGUUGGUAUGUUCCUAGGAAACACCCCCUUGAUUUCUCUGAAAUGUUGGUCUCCUUUUCCUCACCACUAGUUCACGGUUUAGGCCGUUUUGUACUUGUGUCUGUGGAGCAGAGAUAUUGACCAGGAAUGUAGGCGCUGCCGCUCGACCAUGAGUGUGGCCUUGGAGGGCCCCGGAGAAUGGCAUGGGUAGUUUGACAUGGAAAUGUGCGCUGGAUUUAUCCUCUCUAUUCAUUCCCACCUCUCAGGUUCAACUGCUUUCAUCAAUUGCCUUCAUUCGAACUACACCAUAAGUUUACCAACUCACGUCAAUGUCAAGUGUUGUGACUUGCAAUCUGAGCCAUGAUGUUUGACUGUGCCUUGAACCUCAGGAUGAAACCAAUACGUCAUUGGUUGCAGGCAGUCAGCCUUCACUGUACUUGACCAGCGUAUUAUGUAGACUUUGAAUUAAGAGUGUCAUUUGAAUUUGAUUACUGUUUUAGACAGAUAUGUGCUACCUACAAGAUUGUGUUUGGGCAUCCUCCUAAGGCAAGCGAUGGAGAUAUUUAUGGCACCCUUUAGGGCCAACGAAGACAUGUCCCCGCAUUUUCCCUAAUUAUGCUUUGAAAAUUUUUGAUUUCACAUGAACCACUUGGAGGAAAAAAAAUCUGCGUCCCAUCAAAGUAGUUUAUCUCGUGCCUCAGUUGAUUCUUGAAAUCUGCUCUUGGGUUUGUCUGUCUGUCUAUCUGUAUUUGUAGAAACAAAACCAAAACCAAAACAAACAAACAAACAAAAAAGCCAAAAAAAUAACCCCAGGCCCCCCAAAUUUGAUGGUUGCCUACCAUUUAGGACCCUGUCCUGCAUUCUCUCCACGUGGCUCUCCCAUGGGAUUCCCUGGAAUGUUUGUUUGAGGAAACAGGAAAAGCUCAGGCCCGUAAUGGACCCGUGAUCAGGACAGCACCUCAUCUCUCAAUGCACAGUUCCAGUUGGCUGUCCCUCCACCAGGGUAGUCUGUGGCCCUUAGCUUUUUGGGGGUUGUUUUGUCAUCGUCGUUGUUGUUGUUCUUGCUGUUGUCGGUGCAUAAUUGAGCUCAUGAUGACUGAGAGAUUGACAGUGCAGGAGACUGAAGUCCUCUGUAUAUCCGCAGGGCAGGCAUGGUACAGAGCGCUUCCUUGCACAGCCUUGCCCAUGAGCUCGUCCCUGGCCCGGAGGGACCCACUCUAGAGGUGGUAAGUAAUUCAGUCUUUCUGCUAGCUCAGCCCUGGGCCUCUCCUGAACAGGGGCGGAUGAAUGUGCCUACUGGUUAUGGCGGUGUGGGGUCUGGACUCCUGGCCCCCUGGCAAUAUACAGAAAGCCGCUGACUGUUUGCAUUGUGACUUGGCUCCUGGAGAAGUGGACCAAAACCACUAGUUCAACUCUGUCGGCUACGAAGAAUACCCCUCAAUGGAUAGGACAGAGACCAUAGGCGUUACUUAACAUACAGACCCUCCCUCCAUAAGGACUUUUAAGGAAUUGUCAUCCCUAAGGAUAAUUUCCUUGGCCUGUUGCAGAAAUAGAAACCUGUGGUUGGAUUUAAAUUCAUGGAAUGAUUUGGGUGACAGCAUGAAAGUGGUAGCUGGUGAGAAAAAAAGUGGUCCAGUAAUAGGCAAUAUAACCAGAUUGGUCUUUCAAUGAACCCCUUCAGCUAUACCUGCUUUAAAACCAAAACAAGAUAUAGCCAGAGUAGGUGGCAUUUGAGUGCCUUUCUAACUAUGCACAUCAGCCAGAAAAUUCUUAGGGAUUAAGCAUAAUGUAAAUGUAGAAAGAUUUAAAGCUUCCUUUAUGAAGUUCAAAUAUUAAAUCGAUAGAAAGAUUUAGAUCAGAAACCAUCUCAGUUUUUUGGUUGAUGUUGACUUUCAUGAUUUGGGGGCCCAAUGACAAAUUGAGGGGAAUAACUCCUGAAUAGACAGGUGACACACAACUUUGCACAUGCCAAGGAGAACUUAAAUUGUCCGAGCUGCAUGUCCGUGAAAGGCUUCUGUGCCACUGAAACACGAAGAUUGUUUUCGUCACCCAGCUCAGCAGACAGUCCAUCAUAUUUCUGAUCUUAGCUCCUCUACAGCCCCCAGAACUUGUGAGGAGGAAGAAAAUCAAUCAGUUCUUUCUCAAAUAACCGUCACCCAAAUGACUUCUUCUUUAAGCAUCUCUCAAAUUUUUCUUGAAAACAAAACUGUCCUAACUUGCCAAUAAGUUUUCUUAAGAUGUUAAAUUCCAGCUCCUCAUAAAUCAUCUUGACAUCUGCUCUUCAAAAAGCUUCUCUAUCAGGGAAGUGUGUGGAUUCAUUUCUGGGCUGUCUUGAGACUUCCACUUUUAGUCAGGGUUCCGGAAACCCUGGUCAGGGCUUGACUACGUGAUCAUCAACAGCUGAAGUCACCUUACAUUAGCCAUUUCAAUCUGGGUUUCCUACCUGUCCUCACAGAGAGAUUGUUCCACUUACAAAUUAACAUGUACAGCUGUGGAAUAUAUUAUUGGACCAGAACGUCAGCACACUGGGACACCAGUCAGAGAUGCAAGAAACUAUAAACUGAACCUGAGUGGUGGUGACACUUGAUAAUAUUUUAGGCCACCUCGUUAUCUGGAAAGUACAAGUAUCACUUCUUUUUUUUUUUUUUUUUUUUUUUUUAAAAAAAAAGGGAUUUGGGUGAGUUAGGCCAGAAAUUCCCGGGAAAGGAAAUCUGAUUGUUAACUCCAGCGAAAUCCCCAAGCAUGGUCUUCAGAGAACUCAAAUCCUACGGAGUUCCUAGGAUAACAAGUUCAGUGUUUGUCAUUGGCUUUACUUGGCAGGUGGGGGAAGGCACAGACGGGGGGCUUCAAGUACAAAGUCCUCAUGACCGUGGGUCAAGGCACCUUUAUGUUCGUGAUGUUCUUCAAUUGGUGACAGGCAGUGUUGCUGCUGGGUUUGGGUGUGUGAACACAAAAGGGAGUUUUUAUUUGUGGGACAGGGUCAUACUCGAGAAAUUUUACACGGAGGUGUAGAAUUUCAGUUUAAUUUUCAUGGCUGAUGACAUAGCACCUGUUUCUGGUUGGACACUUUCAAGCUGGCUUUUGGUUUGAUGAUUCACAAGUUUGUUCUGCUCUCCUGCUGUAGUAGUACCUCGCGGAUGUCUUUUUCUUGGACUCAAUGGCUCUUUGCCAAGUACAACUGUUCCUUUGCUCCUGACUUCUUAAUCUAAUUCUUCAUGGGCAGUUCUGCAUUCACUAAAAUGUUACAAGAAGACAAAUGGGGAGAUGAAAAAGUGAAAAAUGCAGCAGAUAGUAAUCGUAGCUAUUUCCAGCUACUGGAGAGUUUAGCGUCAUAGAAGCAUCAUCUUAGGGAACAUAUCAGCCAGCUACCGUAACACAGACCCAAAAGACACCUGGUCUGCACCUGGGUUGAUUCCAGAGUCAACAGACCAUUGUUACUUCCUCCUUUUCUCAUCUUUAUUUAUAUCUUUUAUUCUUCUUGUUCAAUAUCACUGAUUGACAGUGUCAUGUUAGUUUCAGGUACACAGCACAGUGAUUCAGAUAAUAUAUCAUCUCUUUCCGAUUCUUUCCCUUUGUAGAUUAUUACAAAAUACUGAGUAUUUUUCCCUAGCGUAUACAGUAGGUCUUUGUUGUGUAUAUGUUAAUCCCAACCUCCUAAUUUAUAUUCCUAAAUUAUAUUCUUUAUUCCUCUUGUUUAAGUCUCUUCUGCUUGCUUGCUUCCACAUUUGGGUGUUCCCAAACAGAAACUUCCAAACCUGCAAAAAUUACCACUUACUCAGUAAGCAGUCAGGAAAAUGUGUCAGUUUAAUCCAACAGAAUGUCUGUUUUCCCUAAUAAAUAACAAAAUACACUUCUGAACCUUGUGAACUUUUCAAUUUUAACCCAAAUAACCAUUAAAAGUGAAUUUAGUACAUUUGCAAAUGUGUGAUUGCAGCAGGCUAAUACCUAAAAUAUGAAAUUAAAGUACUCUAAUAUUUAUAAAGAGGUUUUAGAUCUCAAAAGUAAAAAUAUUUUAGUAUGAAUCAGAAUGUUUCUUUGAAAACUAAUUAUUUGUAUCUUUAAAGAAAGAAAAAAGUAUUUAUUGCAAUCACUUAAAGUGGACUAGGUUAAUGCAUUCACUUCUUACCCCUAGAGGCUUGGCUUUGAAUUUGACUUAGAGAAAAUUAGUUUCGAGGCCUCGGCCUCCUCUCAGGUAUUUGUUGAUGUCCCAAAACCAAGCCAACAAUUUGUCACAAUUGUGGUCAUUUACUCAGGAGGUCCAAGAACUAGAAUCGCCUUCUUUCCUCAUUUUCUUUUCCCUUCCCUGAGGCCAUUCCUUUCGGUUGUAGGCUCUUAGCAACCCCAAACUUGGGGCUCACCCACAUCAUUUUCACAGUCCAGGAAAACUCAAGAACCAUUCUUGGCAAAGCUAAUGGAAGGUGCUUUAGUUAUAUAGUUAAUAGGUUGCUGUGACAACCCUUGUGACUCAUGGUGUGACUCACGGCAAUUAUAAUUUCAGUUGCUGGCUGGUUGUUUCAUUAGGACAGACCUGAGAAGAAGCCACACUGAAGUUCUUUCGGUAGGUUUCAUCCAGCUCCUGUCUGCCCACUGACAAACAGUCACAAACUAGGGCUCACAAAGUUGCCAGAAGAUUUGUUUCUUAGCUUGCUGUGAGGCCAGCGGCCAUCCCAGACAUUAAGCUUGCUGACGAUAAGACAUGACCAAAAUACAAGUGCUGGCUAAGAAGCAGGGCUAGUCAAUGGACAAUUGUUUACUGAGAACCCACUUUGUGCCAACAGGUUCUUUGCCCUCAAGAAGUGUACAGACCAGGUUCAAGGUUGGGACUAUGGGAGAAUGGGGACCUGUAGUCACAGUAAACAAUCUGAAAAUGCAGAUGCUAAGUAUACCCUUUGCAGAAGAUUUGGCUCAUAACUGGAAAGCAGACUAAGGCAGAAGUGUGGGAGAGGAGAAGAGUAUGAAAGAGACCCACAGGAUUCGGACACUGUGAUCCAAGCACACAGGAACAAGGGGAAAGGGAAGUGUUUAGCCCUGGGCGCCGAAAACCACCUCUGCUCCUCCUCUCCGCCUGUUCUCACCAAGUGGAACGCCUAUGCCAUUCCUUCAAGAUCCGUCAGUCCGAGGACAUAAAAAUCCCCCAUACUGUCUGGAGACAUUUGCCUUGUUUAGACUCAGCCUGUGUGUCGAGAGCCAAACCCUCUGAACUUAACAGGAUUUCUCUGUCUCGUCUUAUUAAGGUAUAAAUGUAUCAUGCUUGGCCCUGCCCGUCAGUCCUUCCAAGGCAGAAGAUUUGCAUGGUCUUAAAACCCACAGUUUAUGGUGGGGAUCUGUGAAUUCCAUUAAAAAAUCUGAAUCUUUAGCUAAGUGUUUCCGUCUGAGCAUCCAGUUGGUUCAAGUUCUCUGUUCGUAGUCCUCAGAUUCAUGAAUUGAAUUUGGACAAAAAGCACUUGUGUUUCCAUUUCAUUCAGAGGUUCCAAAGGGUAUAGUGAGAUGUUGAAUGGCUCUUUAAAAAUCCAUGACCACUACUGGAAAACAAAAAUGCCUAGCCUACCAGGUACUGGUGUGUACUUAGAUUUAUUAGAUAUUUCAUAACACUCUUGUACAGGAUUGGGUUGAUCUUUAAAGAAGGGGGAGAUGUCUUACAGAAUUUGUCAUUACUUUUAGUUCAAUAAUGAUAUUAAUAAUGGUGAUAGGAAUGGCUGGGGUGCCAUUGUUGUUGUACCAGCAGCAGGAGUGGAAACUACCACCUACUGAACAAUUUUAAUAUUCCAGGUGUUAUGUUUAGCACUUUUCCUGCAUUAGCUCAUUUAAUCUUCUCAUUGGCCCCAUGAGCUUUGUCCCACUUGCACCCCUGGUUUUGAUGAGAAAACUUGCCUGAGAGAGCAGUAAAGCAGAGAAGUGAGAGAACUUGCAAACUCAUCCAGCUGGAAAUGGGCAGAGCCAGGAUUCCUAAUAGAGCAGCUCGACUCGUUGCAUGCACAUAAGUACCACGCUCUUCUCGCCAGUAUUGGCAUUGAGUAACAGUUGCAGAGCACUCACUGCGUGCUAGAUGCUUUUCUAAGCACUUUGCAACUGUUAAUUUAUUUAAUCUUUACCACAAUCUUUUGAGGUAGAUAUUGCUACUCUCCCCACUCUACAGAUGAAAACUGAGGCCCAGGAUUCUGCAACUAGCUAGUAUAUGGUUGAGUCAGGAUUUAAAGCCAACUCAUAGAGCCUACAUGCUCCUAACAAGAAAGAACUUCAUUCCUUAGAGUGGUCCUUCCACUCUAAAAUAUAGGAAGAAAGCCAAGUGCAAUAGUCAUUCCUAUAAUUGACUCAGUGAGGUUUUCUUUUACCUUGAAAUUUUACCUAUAAAGCCUUCUAAGCUUGGUGAACCAACUGAUUACAAGAAAGGGGUAUGAAGGAGUUCCCGGUGUGGCUCAGCAGGUUAAGAACCCAACUAGAAUCCAUGAGGAUGCAGGUUUGACCCCUGGCCUUGCUCAGCGAGCUAAGGAUCCAGCAUUGCCAAAAGCUGUGGUGUAGGUCACAGAUACAGCUUAGAUCCAGCGUUGCUUUGGCUGUGGCAUAGGCCUGCUGCUGAAGUUCUGAUUCAGCCCCUAGCCUAAGAACUUCCAUAUGCCGCAAGUGUGGCCCUGUAAAGAAAAAAAAAAAAAAAAAA
This 7089-nucleotide long non-coding RNA is filed under the name Sus scrofa (pig). RNAcentral's name for it is "lncRNA (ENSSSCG00040038231.1)". Lineage: Eukaryota; Metazoa; Chordata; Mammalia; Artiodactyla; Suidae. The record is from RNAcentral.